CAGAAAGAAGAAGAUUCAUCAGUAAAUACUGAGCUCAUGAACAGAAGAAACAGCUACAUCUGAUUUGUUUACCUGAAUAGAAAUAAUCAUUUAGACCAAUCAGUGACAUGGGACACACCCUGACCAGGUGUUUCUGGAAGAGCAUAUGUAGAUAAUCAGGAAACAGCUGCAUGUUUUCAUCACUUACUGCAUGUAUGUGGACUGUGUGGAUGCAGAGGACAAAACUUUAAACACGGCUGAGAGGAACUCAUUCAGGUUUUACCCCAAAAAUGAACAACACAAACCAGACGUUUCCAGACAACAUAUCUGAGCCUUUCAUCUCCCACUGCUGGACUGAGAGUGAAGAUUAUCUCUUCACACUGAUCAUCGUUUCCAUCUUCCUUCCUUUGACCGUCUUGGCCUUAUGUGCUCUUUUAUCACAGCUGCGAAAUGAACAUGCUGCUCCGGUCUACGUCAUCAACCUCGUCUUUGCUGACAUCCUACAGAUGUGCUGCAUGAUCAUUAAGCUGGCAGGGGUCAAGGACGAAUUAAUAAAGUUUAUAUUUUACUACUACGUCUACAACUGUGCUGUGAUGGUCAGUGUUUUCUCCAUGGUCUGCAUUGCCCUGGAAAGGUUACCGUCUAUUCUACACCCCCCUAAUUUAUUAGUAGAUAGCUCUGAUGGUCUUCACAGACUGGUUUUGAGUAUCUGUCUUGUGUUACAGAUAUCUGCUCAUCGUCUGGCUGAUCUGGUACCGUCUGAAACAAACCACCAAGGUCUAUGUGGGUGUCUGUGCUUUAAUCUGGAUCAUUUCUGUUUUUAUUGGAUUUAUUCAUCAAGAAUAUUUGGGUGCUUUUCUCCUCUUUCCCUUUCCCCUGCUCAUCUUCUUCCUAGUUGGGACCAUUAGAGCCCUGUCUGCUGUCCAGGGUGUUUCCAUCAAUGAAAAACGGAGAAUUGUGGCAAUUUUGCUUGUGGUUGUGUUAACGUACACAGUUCUUGUCCUGCCUCGGUUUGUUUUGCCAUUGUUGCAAUUUUUGGCUAGUUCAGUUGGCAUUGACUGGAGCAUUUUUUUAAACUUUUAUGACGUGGCUUGCAUUCUAAUUCAGUUGCAACCUCUUACUAACUUAGUUUUAUAUUUUUUAUUUAAUAAAUGGACCAUAGGAAGGUUUUUGGUCUGUCUGACCUGUUGCAGAAAUAACAAUGAUGAUGCCACCAGAUCAACAGCCUGAAUGAUGAAAACAUGAAAACAAUCAGCCUAAAAUACGCUGACAAAGGAGAGAAAAUGGACAUUCACAUAGACAGAAGACAGAUUUUCUAUUUUAUCAAAGAAUCUGGGAAAACUGACAAAAACUUCAACACAUUUGGAUUCUGCAAAAAGGCUACAAAGACUUUAUUUUCUGUACAAACUAAAGACUUUUAAUGUAGAAAAGACACUGAUAGUUUUAUUUUACAAAUCUUUUAUGGAGUCUGUUUUAAUGUUCUGUAUUAUUGGCUGGUUUGCAGAAUAAAAACCGUCGGAUAUCAUCAGAGUAGAAGUAAGAUAACUGGCUCACAGCAGCUCUCUAUCAGAUAUUUAUAAUCAACACGUGUCACGGAAGGUGCAACCAAUCCUGGCCAGCUCUGGUCACCCAGAAGAAUUUGUUCUCCCUUCAGGUCGUCAGCAUCGUUGCAAACAACCCAGCCACCUGCCUGACCAACAUGUGACGUGGUUUGGUCACAUGACUCUAGGUGUGAAUGGUUUCUAAACGGCCUGGGAAGGUGAGUCAAGACUGCACUGCAGGUGUUUGACAGAUGAAACCUGAGGCCCCCUCCUCUAUCUAAUGUUGGUUUUCCCAUUUAACAUCGAUGACUUCUUCCCCUGUCCAAUAUAUGCACCUUACUUUCCUUUAAAAGAGUGUUGCUUGUCCUUAAGAUGCAGGUGGACUGUUGAAACUUGACCUGAAGAGCUGCUCUUUGUAGCACCGCACACCUGUAAAGUGGUUGUUUGGUUUCUAUGUAGAGGUCUGUGCUCUGGUGGACCAGUUUCUGCCUCCGUGUGUUGCUAGGUUUGAAAUGCACAGGAAUGUUGUGUUUAGAGAAGAUCAGUCCUCAAAGGCCGCUGUCCUGCAGGUUCUGGAGGUUUCUUGCUGCACCUGAAUCGGAUUAAUAGGUCAUCAUGCUGGCAGAGAACUUAACAAGCUGUUGAGGAGAACCAUUUAAUUUGAAUCAGGUGUGCUGGAGCAGGAAUCGUCUGACACACCAGAGCUGGACACCCCGGUUUUUCAGCCACUCCAGACAUGUGUGGAAUGACAACGUUUGUGCAUCAUUUCUUCUAUUCUUCAUUAUUUGGGGCUCAGUUUUUCUCUGACUUGAUAAAAGCCCAGCUCAGACACGCAGGGUUGAAGCUCUGUCUCGACAUGCUUGUGCAGCUUUUCUUUCCUUCUGUCCUGGUGGGACAUUUUCAGCCCGAUGCUGCAGAGUCCUGAGGACGGCCAGUCUGUGUUCCAGUGGGUGGUGUGAGUCAGAGAGCAAGAACUGGUCUGUGUGUGAUGGUUUCCAGUACACUGCUGGGUUGGUAACAAAACCUACCCGACUCCCACACGUCCCUCAUGUUUUUCAUUAGGUGCUUUUCCAUUACCCCUAGAACUGCACAAAACCUAAAUAUCGCAAUAAAAACUGAUAAUGGAAACACCAACAUUUCGAAAAACCUCUCAAAUAUUGCUAAAAUGUUUUUAUGCUGUCAUGAGGUGACUUUUCAGAUGUGUCAAUAUAGGAGUAUAUCGCAAAGUGUAAUGGAAACACUUUUUUUCAUUUACACGUCCCCGGACAUGACGUAAGGGGCACGGCAUGAGGAGCUGCAAGAGGAGACAGAAAUCUUUUCACAAACAAUUAAAGAAAAUAUCGCUGCCAUCCUUCAUAGCAAACAACAGCGAAAUGCAAGAAUUUUUAACCAAAAAUUAGAAAUCUCCUUCCUCCUCAAAGCUGAGAGAACAACAACUAAUGCACUAAACACCAUUCAAUGGAAGCGCCUGCAAAUCGCUGUUGUUGAAAUUUUAGAAAUAUUUCUUUUAUUUAGCAAAAUACUGUAAUGGAAACGCAGCUACUGAAUACCAGUAAGAUUCAGAGUUAAUUUCCAAAUGUUACGACUCCAGUAGAAGGUGAUGCAUUAAAUAGAAGCUGCUUAUACAUCAGAGCUUCAGGUGGUCGACCUCCAUGAUGCCAGAUCUGAGCAACUGCCAGACUUUUUCAACAUUUUGGUCCUAUUUAUGAAGCAUUUAAAACUCUGUUUUUAACAUAUUGAUUUAUGUUUUUAAAAAGAAGUUUCAGUUGUAAAUUUUUUGUUUUAUUAUUAGUGAUAUAAUUAAAAUGGAGUGUUUUGCUCUAGAUUUUUUCUCUUAGACACGUGGAUAUAAUCAUCAAUCUCUGUAAAAAACUUGGAUUUCUUGCAGGAAAACACUAGCAGUGUUCUUAAAAUGUACAUGUUCAUUGUAUAAUCUGUGUAUUUAUCAACUUUAAAUUGUAAUUUGAAAAGUGUUUGU
Molecule: long non-coding RNA, 3498 nt
Organism: Melanotaenia boesemani (Boeseman's rainbowfish)
Lineage: Eukaryota; Metazoa; Chordata; Actinopteri; Atheriniformes; Melanotaeniidae
Exons: 3
Source: RefSeq, a predicted model, not a curated record